GACGAACGCUGGCGGCGUGCUUAACACAUGCAAGUCGAACGAAGAGCGAUGGAAGCUUGCUUCUAUCAAUCUUAGUGGCGAACGGGUGAGUAACGCGUAAUCAACCUGCCCUUCAGAGGGGGACAACAGUUGGAAACGACUGCUAAUACCGCAUACGAUCUAAUCUCGGCAUCGAGGAUGGAUGAAAGGUGGCCUCUAUUUAUAAGCUAUCACUGAAGGAGGGGAUUGCGUCUGAUUAGCUAGUUGGAGGGGUAACGGCCCACCAAGGCGAUGAUCAGUAGCCGGUCUGAGAGGAUGAACGGCCACAUUGGGACUGAGACACGGCCCAGACUCCUACGGGAGGCAGCAGUGGGGAAUCUUCCGCAAUGGACGAAAGUCUGACGGAGCAACGCCGCGUGAGUGAUGACGGCCUUCGGGUUGUAAAGCUCUGUUAAUCGGGACGAAAGGCCUUCUUGCGAAUAGUAGAAGG
This 469-nucleotide ribosomal RNA is filed under the name Veillonella dispar. RNAcentral describes it as "bacterial SSU rRNA". It matches the Rfam family "Bacterial small subunit ribosomal RNA", at positions 28 to 467 of the family's 1533-position model. Lineage: Bacteria; Bacillati; Bacillota; Negativicutes; Veillonellales; Veillonellaceae. The record is from RNAcentral.